This 638-nucleotide ribosomal RNA is filed under the name Bacillus cereus. Its description in RNAcentral is "bacterial SSU rRNA". It matches the Rfam family "Bacterial small subunit ribosomal RNA", at positions 88 to 711 of the family's 1533-position model. The record is from RNAcentral. Lineage: Bacteria; Bacillati; Bacillota; Bacilli; Caryophanales; Bacillaceae.
GAAGUUAGCGGCGGACGGGUGAGUAACACGUGGGUAACCUGCCCAUAAGACUGGGANAACUCCGGGAAACCGGGGCUAAUACCGGAUAACAUUUUGAACUGCAUGGUUCGAAAUUGAAAGGCGGCUUCGGCUGUCACUUAUGGAUGGACCCGCGUCGCAUUAGCUAGUUGGUGAGGUAACGGCUCACCAAGGCAACGAUGCGUAGCCGACCUGAGAGGGUGAUCGGCCACACUGGGACUGAGACACGGCCCAGACUCCUACGGGAGGCAGCAGUAGGGAAUCUUCCGCAAUGGACGAAAGUCUGACGGAGCAACGCCGCGUGAGUGAUGAAGGCUUUCGGGUCGUAAAACUCUGUUGUUAGGGAAGAACAAGUGCUAGUUGAAUAAGCUGGCACCUUGACGGUACCUAACCAGAAAGCCACGGCUAACUACGUGCCAGCAGCCGCGGUAAUACGUAGGUGGCAAGCGUUAUCCGGAAUUAUUGGGCGUAAAGCGCGCGCAGGUGGUUUCUUAAGUCUGAUGUGAAAGCCCACGGCUCAACCGUGGAGGGUCAUUGGAAACUGGGAGACUUGAGUGCAGAAGAGGAAAGUGGAAUUCCAUGUGUAGCGGUGAAAUGCGUAGAGAUAUGGAGGAACACCA